Molecule: long non-coding RNA, 732 nt
Organism: Aedes albopictus (Asian tiger mosquito)
Lineage: Eukaryota; Metazoa; Arthropoda; Insecta; Diptera; Culicidae
Exons: 2
Source: RefSeq, a predicted model, not a curated record
ACCCUAUAACCCAAUCCAGAGCAAGCGAGUAGAUUAAAUAUGAGAGGAGAGAUAUAGCCAUACUAGAGUUCAUCAUGAAUUAUCACCCAAUAGGGUGAGUAUAACAGUUAUAAAUUUAAAUAAUAUGUAUAUAGCUAGGUAAGCCACUCCCAGAAAAUCAACCGCCAAAUUGAAUAACAAACAAAUAUUGUUAACUUACUCUACACAAUUGAACACAUGGCACUUAUGACAUCGGAAUCCCGGGAUGACAGAAGGAUAAGGUGGGCAUUGGAAAUAUGAAUAGGAUGUAGGGACAGGAAAGAUGGACAACGAGAGGCUUUGGGAGGAGGAUGAGGAUCGUGGGAAGGUCUAUAAAGGGUUUGGAGCACAAGAUCGGGUCUUUUCGACUUGAACCUCCGGAGGAAUAAGAUCGAGUUUUUACAAAUACCAGUGAUUCCAAAGCGAAAGCUUAGUUUAAUAAAAAAGUUACGCUGUGCAUAUAGCAAAUUAGAGUCAGGACCCAUUAGCGUUUUGCUGAGAAACCCUGGUUAUCCAAGAAGGGUAGCGAAGCCCGACCGAGAUACCGGCACGAUCGCCGGUGAAGAUUUACCCAAGCCACCUAGUCGCCAUCUUGGGCCCGAGUUCCCGAGCCCACGCCGAGAAGCAGAGCAUCCCACAUCCCACAUCGAGAUUCCGUCAUCGCUGGCCAGCCUACACAUUACACCCGACACGACACACACACACACCGAAAAA